AGUGAACGCUGGCGGUAGGCCUAACACAUGCAAGUCGAACGGCAGCACAGUAAGAGCUUGCUCUUACGGGUGGCGAGUGGCGGACGGGUGAGGAAUACAUCGGAAUCUACUUUUUCGUGGGGGAUAACGUAGGGAAACUUACGCUAAUACCGCAUACGACCUACGGGUGAAAGCAGGGGAUCUUCGGACCUUGCGCGAUUGAAUGAGCCGAUGUCGGAUUAGCUAGUUGGCGGGGUAAAGGCCCACCAAGGCGACGAUCCGUAGCUGGUCUGAGAGGAUGAUCAGCCACACUGGAACUGAGACACGGUCCAGACUCCUACGGGAGGCAGCAGUGGGGAAUAUUGGACAAUGGGCGCAAGCCUGAUCCAGCCAUACCGUGUGGGUGAAGAAGGCCUUCGGGUUGUAAAGCCCUUUUGUUGGGAAAGAAAAGCAGCAGGUUAAUACCCUGCUGUUCUGACGGUACCCAAAGAAUAAGCACCGGCUAACUUCGU
Molecule: ribosomal RNA, 491 nt
Filed under: uncultured bacterium
Lineage: Bacteria
Description: partial 16S ribosomal RNA
Rfam family: Bacterial small subunit ribosomal RNA
Source: RNAcentral